Molecule: long non-coding RNA, 240 nt
Organism: Diceros bicornis minor
Lineage: Eukaryota; Metazoa; Chordata; Mammalia; Perissodactyla; Rhinocerotidae
Exons: 3
Source: RefSeq, a predicted model, not a curated record
AGCAGGCCCCAGGGAGAACUGCAAUGGUGUCUGUGUCAGCACGCCCACACCAGGCCACAACAAUGGCCGCCGCCAAUGUCCCAGUCCCUGGAGAGGUCUCACCUCUCACCGAGAUGCACACAGGGCCUAUCAGGAUCUCUAUAUCCUUGAAGCAAUUUGUGUGAACAUUAUUUCUUUUGAUAAACAUGAAUGAGCAAAGUGGAAGAUUUCAAAUAAACUCUAAAUAGUCAAACAUCUGCU